This 498-nucleotide ribosomal RNA is filed under the name uncultured bacterium. RNAcentral describes it as "partial 16S ribosomal RNA". It matches the Rfam family "Bacterial small subunit ribosomal RNA", at positions 30 to 523 of the family's 1533-position model. The record is from RNAcentral.
AUUGAACGCUGGCGGCAUGCCUUACACAUGCAAGUCGAACGGUAACGCGGGGCAACCUGGCGACGAGUGGCGAACGGGUGAGUAAUGUAUCGGAACGUGCCCAGUUGUGGGGGAUAACUGCUCGAAAGAGCAGCUAAUACCGCAUACGACCUGAGGGUGAAAGCGGGGGAUCGCAAGACCUCGCGCAAUUAGAGCGGCCGAUAUCAGAUUAGGUAGUUGGUGGGGUAAAGGCCUACCAAGCCUACGAUCUGUAGCUGGUCUGAGAGGACGACCAGCCCCACUGGGACUGAGACACGGCCCAGACUCCUACGGGAGGCAGCAGUGGGGAAUUUUGGACAAUGGGGGAAACCCUGAUCCAGCCAUGCCGCGGGCGGGAAGAAGGCCUUCGGGUUGUAAACCGCUUUUGUCAGGGAAGAAAUCCUUUGAACUAAUACUUCGGAGGGAUGACGGUACCUGAAGAAUAAGCACCGGCUAACUACGUGCCAGCCGCCGCCGUAA